This 1747-nucleotide long non-coding RNA is filed under the name Hordeum vulgare. RNAcentral describes it as "long non-coding RNA (HVUL_LNC000189)". The record is from RNAcentral. Lineage: Eukaryota; Viridiplantae; Streptophyta; Magnoliopsida; Poales; Poaceae.
UUUACGUCGGACUAGAAGUUAAUAUAGAUAGAAACUGAACCUGGCUGUUCAAGUUCUUCUCACUUUUUUGCAAAGUGCAUGCGACUUAUCUAGAUUUACAUGUACAUAGUUCAGAUUACCGGAUUGUUGCUGCGUAGUUUGUUGAUUCUGGAGCCAAGAUGGCAUCUUCUCUUGAUGCAAUAGAUGAUCCUUUUAUGAAACUUCACACCUGAAAGAGAAGAGCAUAAGAGCUGGACUAAUUAAAAGAAAGCACAAAGCUGCUUGCUUGCAGUCUUGACAAAUUUAAGACUGUAAAAGGAUAAGAAAAAAAAAUCAAAAGACACUGAAGCGGUUUCUUCUAUAUACAGUUUUUUUUUUUAAUUUUAGCAGCUCAUAGUAACAGAUUCACAUUCACAAAAGGACGAUGCUACCAGUAGAUCAUUUCUUAUCAUGGAGCUAGGUACCAUGGUGUCAUAAGGUAUAUUCACACAAUAUCUUGAGGAACAUUACUUGAUGUAUUAUGCUUGCCUUGAAUGUCUUAAGCUCGUAGUUCAUAAAGAAGAAUAUCCGCAGCUAGGUAAUAGUACUGCAUCAAGAAGUGGUGGUAUCUAGAAAAUCAAACUUGUUAUCUCAGAUGUGGUGGUACCGGCCAGAAUCAAUUUUCUCCCCCCAGACUUGGGUGAGAAUAAUGAUUGGUACCAUCCAAUUCCUAUCGCGAGACAUGUAUCUGAUUUUAAACAAGAGUACUAAAUAUAGGGAUUUCACACAUGACAAGAAAGUGCAUUUGAAACAUGGAAAUAGUAUGUAUAUAUAGUGUACUGUGGGAUAAAUGCAGUCUAUUCAGGACAUGAGCUGUUUUUAACAAAAUAAUAUGAAUAAUUUAUAUUCCCUGGAGAUAUGUAUGACAAUGUAGUUAUAUUUUGUUCAUACAAUAGGAUAGCAACAGAUUACUACCAGCACAACAAUUGCAACUGGAUAAUAAUUUGCAAUUCAUCCACAAAACAUUGAUAAUAAUAAAAUAAAUAAGCAUGGCAGAACAUCCAUUGCUCUCUCUAAUGGUCGUUUUAGCAAAUUCAGUUGAAAGUUUCCAAACUCAAGCUAAAUAAAGAAGAAGAAGAAGUAGUAGCUUUUAUAUGCAAAUGCAAGUAAUAAAUGUAAUCUGAGACAAACCUUUUUGAUGGUUUGUACUGGACUGGGCAACAAAAGAGAAGUCUCUCCUUUUUUUUUUUGAUAUAACUUACCACUCAUGUCAAGUGGUCGAAGUCUCUCCUUCUUGACCUUCCCCCCAAAUUUGUCUGUGACAUACGUAUCUGAUUAACGAAGACGGAUCGAACCAGUUGGUAGUCAAAUUCUAACUGCAAGUAGCAUGAGAAGAAUAUAUAUGGGAGCAUAGGGUGAAGAUCCCAGUCUAGAAUUACAUCAAAAACCUCCAGUGCAACUCGCAGGUUGCUGCUCCUACGAUUAAUUAGGAUGAGCGCGUGGCCGUGGAGACUUGAGUAGGGUACACUACACUACACUUGGGGACAAUGGAGGGGACGGAGGGCGCUGACUGACCUGCUCGCAGGCGCUGCGCUUGCCGAGCUCCUCGAAGAAGCGGAGGAGGCCACGGGCAACCACCUACGAGGCCACGAGGUCGUCGACCAGGACGCCGCCGGGUCGCAGCCGGCGGAGGGGAGGGGACGGGGCGAGGGUCCGAACUCCGAAGCAGACAGCCGCGACCGCGAUGUCAGGACCCGAGAACGUGUUAUCUGAAUAUAAUCCAUCGCUG